UUGAGAACAAAACGUCGCUCUAGAAAGAAAACACAGCACGUAAGCAUAAAGUUACUUUUUAAGGCUACUAUCUUUAUAAAAGUGUGCUCUCUAGAUACACUGAAUCUGACUUUAUCUUGUCUUUUACAGGAAGGUGUCUGUUUUCACCGGCUUGUGAGGAAAGAGAUGUAUCUGGCUACCAAAUAGUAGGAGAUGCAUCUCUGCCAAUAAGUAUUGUUCCACAGAAAGUCUUCAGUAGUAAUAACUGGUGCUGGUAAGAAAGAGACUAUAGCAAGGAAAAAAAUCCCCUUCCAAGCCUGAGCCACAGUUACAAGGCAAGACAUGCUUUUCUCAUUAACCUUAAUUAAACUGCUCAGUAAAAAUUCUCCAAGGAUUAAAGCAGUGGAAAUCAUUACAAUUCUUGUUAUUCUGUCUUCUGGCAGAAAUUUCUUUGAGUGAAUAAGCAAAAGUGUCAUUAGCGUUGCUGUACGUAGAGAACAGAGCCACUCAGACUUGGUGAUACAGUUUCAAAGCAAUCAGCAGGGGAAAAAGGAAAAACGAACACUUCCACACACCCUCCCCACACACCCUCACACCCUACCCCCCCCCCCCAAAAAAAACCCAAACAAGACACUAACUUGUUUGCAUUCAUAUUUUUUUCUUCAGAAAGCUCAUUUCUAGUGCUACUUCAGAGAUCAGCUACCAAAAGUCACAUCACUGAAUUCACACUAUUUAAAAAAGAACAACCAGAGUGCAAAAAUUGGUGUCAAAUGCCAGUGAAAGUAUGAUAUGUACAAGUAUGUACAGUCUUCUUGUUUUCGAGGACUGCUCACAUUCUGCUCACCCACCACAGGAAUUUCAAAAUGUCUGUAGCUGAAGCUUUGCUUCCACAAUGUAUCAUUUCAGGAACCUCUUACACAGCCUCCACGGUGUAGUAACUCCUUAUCAGCUAUCAGACACUGGACUGGCUCUUGUAUGGAUGAGGUAAAAAAAAGGGAAUUUUGAACCCUUAACUUCAAUGAAUAAUGAGAUAACUGUGUAGUUCUAGAUUUGAUAUUUUAGUGAAAACUUUCAAGAAUGGAGAUGCUGAGUUUCUCUAUUAAUUACAUACUGAAAGUCAAAUAAUUAAGAUUUAGCAUAUUUUUUGUAAGUAGGAAUUCAAAUUUUUCAUCACAUUAAUGUUGGAGCCAAUAUUUAUCUUACAAAGUAUCUUGUUUCUUUGAAAUGUCAUAUGUUCCUUAUGGAGUGAGAUAAUCACAUUCUGAAAAUAAGUCACAAAUUGUUAUCAGUUAUUGUAAUUAAUUGUGUGGAAAAAUUGCAUUGCAGAACUUGUUAAAAUUCUUCCUUGGAUAUGUAUGCUGACUCCUCCAUCUUCUAUUCCCAUGUAUCAACAAAACCACCACCCAAGGCUACUGUGCCUUAAACUCAGAUGGUGAGCCUGAACAUUUCCUACUAUUAAUUUCUGACCUAAA
Long non-coding RNA from Pezoporus flaviventris, 1451 nucleotides. RefSeq lists it as uncharacterized. The record is from RefSeq and is a predicted model, not a curated record. NCBI's taxonomy places the organism in Eukaryota, Metazoa, Chordata, Aves, Psittaciformes, Psittacidae. The transcript is spliced from 2 exons.